RNAcentral lists this ribosomal RNA (253 nucleotides) under uncultured bacterium. RNAcentral describes it as "partial 16S ribosomal RNA". It matches the Rfam family "Bacterial small subunit ribosomal RNA", at positions 524 to 776 of the family's 1533-position model. The record is from RNAcentral.
UACGUAGGGACCAAGCGUUGUUCGGAUUUACUGGGCGUAAAGGGCGCGUAGGCGGCGUGUUAAGUCAGCUGUGAAAUCUCCAAGCUUAACUUGGAACGGUCAGCUGAUACUGAUGUGCUAGAGCGCAGAAGGGGCAACCGGAAUUCUUGGUGUAGCGGUGAAAUGCGUAGAUAUCAAGAGGAACACCUGAGGUGAAGACGGGUUGCUGGGCUGACACUGACGCUGAGGCGCGAAAGCUAGGGUAGCAAACGGG